RNAcentral lists this ribosomal RNA (374 nucleotides) under uncultured bacterium. RNAcentral describes it as "bacterial SSU rRNA". It matches the Rfam family "Bacterial small subunit ribosomal RNA", at positions 524 to 898 of the family's 1533-position model. The record is from RNAcentral.
UACGUAGGGUGCGAGCGUUAAUCGGAAUUACUGGGCGUAAAGCGUGCGCAGGCGGUUUUGUAAGACAGGCGUGAAAUCCCCGAGCUCAACUUGGGAAUUGCGCUUGUGACUGCAAGGCUAGAGUAUGUCAGAGGGGGGUAGAAUUCCACGUGUAGCAGUGAAAUGCGUAGAGAUGUGGAGGAAUACCGAUGGCGAAGGCAGCCCCCUGGGACGUCACUGACGCUCAUGCACGAAAGCGUGGGGAGCAAACAGGAUUAGAUACCCUGGUAGUCCACGCCCUAAACGAUGUCAACUAGUUGUUGGGGAUUCAUUUCUUCAGUAACGUAGCUAACGCGUGAAGUUGACCGCCUGGGGAGUACGGUCGCAAGAUUAAA